UAAACCUGAAAAAAAAAUAUCGGUUGAAAAAAAAAACAUUUCUUACGAUACUGUUAAUGAAACUUGAAUAAAUCAUUGGAUAUCUGUGUUCACUCGUAUCUAAAUUUUUUCAAGAACGAAUUACACGAUUUUUUCUUUGAUGCUUUACAAAUUGAAACAAUAAGCCAAUUUAAAUUCUUUGAACUAUAUAUUAAGGAGGAGAAGGGAGAGAAUGUGAAAUCCAAUAGUACUUUCAUCAAAAUUAUCUCUCUUUCGGGCAAAUUAAUUCCGAUUGCGUUAACGAAUUCUAAAUUGGACGUAACUUCCUGCGCGCGCGUGGCCAGGAAAGAUAAACACAUUGAAAAAAAUUCUUUACGACCUUAAGUUUCGCCACGAGCGAAGAGAAAAACACCUUCUCCCUCUCACGUCUUUUUCUCCCCCACGAUCUUCCCUUCCAUUCUCUCCCCCUCUUCCCAUCUUGAGUUUUAAGAACCCGACGACCUUCCAACUCCUACGCGUCGAAAAUACGCUCUAACAAGUAUCGCAGCGGACUUAUUUAAUCGUGAGACGGCGACGAUAAAGAGGACGAGAGAAAUAUUCGGUAGACACACCGAGCGAGCGAGCGAGUACGUGGACUUGCCGCUCAUGUUCGGUCCAGUUAUCAGGUGAAAAUUAUACGCAAUUGACGCGUUCUGCGCGUUAGAGAAUAAGCUCCCUUUUGAGAUGCAAUCCGUUAUACCUGAAGACUGAUGCAUAGAGAAUGAUUGGCCACCAAUUCCGCUACGCAGGACUGUCGAUCCAGGAUCAGACGUUCGUCGCAGCCGGGCUGAAGGA
This is a long non-coding RNA of Formica exsecta, 813 nucleotides long. RefSeq lists it as uncharacterized. The record is from RefSeq and is a predicted model, not a curated record. Lineage: Eukaryota; Metazoa; Arthropoda; Insecta; Hymenoptera; Formicidae. The transcript has 3 exons.